AACGAACGCUGGCGGCAUGCCUAACACAUGCAAGUCGAACGGGAUCCAGGCUUCGGCCUGGUGAGAGUGGCGGACGGGUGAGUAACACGUGGGAACCUGCCUUUUGGUUCGGGAUAACCGCGGGAAACUGCGGCUAAUACCGAAUGCUCCCGAGAGGGGAAAGAUUUAUCGCCAGAAGAGGGGCCCGCGUCCGAUUAGGUAGUUGGUGGGGUAAUGGCCUACCAAGCCGACGAUCGGUAGCUGGUCUGAGAGGAUGAUCAGCCACACUGGGACUGAGAUACGGCCCAGACUCCUACGGGAGGCAGCAGUGGGGAAUAUUGGACAAUGGGGGCAACCCUGAUCCAGCAAUGCCGCGUGAGUGAUGAAGGCCUUAGGGUUGUAAAGCUCUUUUGCCAGGGAAGAUGAUGACUGUACCUGGAGAAUAAGCCCCGGCUAACUUCGUG
RNAcentral lists this ribosomal RNA (443 nucleotides) under uncultured bacterium. RNAcentral's name for it is "bacterial SSU rRNA". It matches the Rfam family "Bacterial small subunit ribosomal RNA", at positions 29 to 507 of the family's 1533-position model. The record is from RNAcentral.